This is a long non-coding RNA of Ictalurus punctatus (channel catfish), 1008 nucleotides long. Lineage: Eukaryota; Metazoa; Chordata; Actinopteri; Siluriformes; Ictaluridae. The record is from Ensembl.
UUGGGGAUACUUGAGCGAAAGUGCACGCUGACUUUUUGACUCUUAUGAAGCAGCGUGGCACUAAAGUGGACUUAACUUCGUUUGACUCGCGACAUAAAAGACGAUAUAUUAGGGCAAAAUACAGCUGGCCGCGGACCUAAAAGGACCAUUAGCGAGGGGGCUAGUAAUUGUGAAAAGAAAAGAGGGGGAAAGAACGAAGGGAAGGAAGAAAGAAAGAAAGAAAGAAAGAAAGAAGGGAGGAGGUAAAGAGGGGGGGAAAGAGAGGGAGAAAAAAAAGGGAUGGGGUAAAAUGGAGGAGCAGGGUAGUCUUCAAAGAGAUAUCAAUUUUACCAUUAGUUCAAUUUGAAUUGAUCCCCCCACGAAUACCCCUCAAUCCCUCCUUGGAUGCUAGGAAACAGAUGCCAAGAUGCUUUUGUUACAUUGCCCCAAACACAAAAGUAAAUACCGGAAGAAAUAAAGUGAUUGUAGUUAGAGAGAGAGAGAGAGAGAGAGAGAGAGAGAGAGAGAGAGAGAGAGAGAGAGAGGGUCAUUUGCAAAUGAAUGCAGUAGCAGUUGUGGAAAUAUAAGCAUGGGCUCCGUUCAGGGACGAGUGGGACAAAUGCGGGCUUUGCUCCGGGGGAGAAAAGAAAGAGGGGUGACCCCUGCACUAAUGUAAUAUACAUUCACAGCAUUUCUCAUCCAGACGCCCGGGCAACUGCGAUCAACGGCUCUGAAUGAAGGAGUGAAAUAAUGAAUGAACGGAUGACUAGAAUGAGAGCCAAGAGGUGAGGCAAAAGUUCUCGCAGUUAGUCAUCUUUAAAGGGAAAAAAAUAAAAUAAAAAAAAAAAAAAACAGAACAGGCAGCACGGCUGAGAUGGAUGUUCACUCCGCUCCAGGUUUAUGAGUUGCUGAACGAUUAAAUGGCGUCCAAACGUAAACGGUCCGAGAAAGCGAACAUGCGCUGGCACGGUGUCGGCCAUUAGAUAUGAUUUUUGAGUUAAAUAGUGCGGGAACACUGAGUGAGCGAAA